RNAcentral lists this ribosomal RNA (497 nucleotides) under uncultured bacterium. RNAcentral's name for it is "partial 16S ribosomal RNA". It matches the Rfam family "Bacterial small subunit ribosomal RNA", at positions 36 to 507 of the family's 1533-position model. The record is from RNAcentral.
UCUUCCCUCUGGCGGCGUGCCUAAUACAUGCAAGUCGAGCGAACAGACGAGGAGCUUGCUCCUCUAACGUUAGCGGCGGACGGGUGAGUAACACGUGGAUAACCUACCUAUAAGACUGGGAUAACUUCGGGAAACCGGAGCUAAUACCGGAUAAUAUAUUGAACCGCAUGGUUCAAUAGUGAAAGACGGUUUUGCUGUCACUUAUAGAUGGAUCCGCGCCGCAUUAGCUAGUUGGUAAGGUAACAGCUUACCAAGGCAACGAUGCGUAGCCGACCUGAGAGGGUGAUCGGCCACACUGGAACUGAGACACGGUCCAGACUCCUACGGGAGGCAGCAGUAGGGAAUCUUCCGCAAUGGGCGAAAGCCUGACGGAGCAACGCCGCGUGAGUGAUGAAGGUCUUCGGAUCGUAAAACUCUGUUAUUAGGGAAGAACAAAUGUGUAAGUAACUAUGCACGUCUUGACGGUACCUAAUCAGAAAGCCACGGCUAACUACGUG